GAUGAACGCUGGCGGCGUGCCUAAUACAUGCAAGUCGAGCGAACGGACGAGAAGCUUGCUUCUCUGAUGUUAGCGGCGGACGGGUGAGUAACACGUGGAUAACCUACCUAUAAGACUGGGAUAACUUCGGGAAAACGGAGCUAAUACCGGAUGAUAUUUUGAACCGCAUGGUUCAAAAGUGAAAGACGGUCUUGCUGUCACUUAUAGAUGGAUCCGCGCUGCAUUAGCUAGUUGGUAAGGUAACGGCUUACCAAGGCAACGAUGCAUAGCCGACCUGAGAGGGUGAUCGGCCACACUGGAACUGAGACACGGUCCAGACUCCUACGGGAGGCAGCAGUAGGGAAUCUUCCGCAAUGGGCGAAAGCCUGACGGAGCAACGCCGCGUGAGUGAUGAAGGUCUUCGGGUCGUAAAACUCUGUUAUUAGGGAAGAACAUAUGUGUAAGUAACUGUGCACAUCUUGACGGUACCUAAUCAGAAAGCCACGGCUAACUACGUG
This 497-nucleotide ribosomal RNA is filed under the name uncultured bacterium. RNAcentral describes it as "partial 16S ribosomal RNA". It matches the Rfam family "Bacterial small subunit ribosomal RNA", at positions 28 to 507 of the family's 1533-position model. The record is from RNAcentral.